GUGGGGAAUAUUGGGCAAUGGGCGCAAGCCUGACCCAGCAACGCCGCGUGAAGGAAGAAGGCUUUCGGGUUGUAAACUUCUUUUACCGGGGACGAAACAAAUGACGGUACCUGGUGAAUAAGCCACGGCUAACUACGUGCCAGCAGCCGCGGUAAUACGUAGGUGGCGAGCGUUAUCCGGAUUUAUUGGGUGUAAAGGGCGUGUAGGCGGGACAGCAAGUCAGAUGUGAAAACCAGAGGCUCAACCUCUGGCCUGCAUUUGAAACUGUUGUUCUUGAGUGUCGGAGAGGUAAUCGGAAUUCCGUGUGUAGCGGUGAAAUGCGUAGAUAUACGGAGGAACACCAGUGGCGAAGGCGGAUUACUGGACGAUAACUGACGCUGAGGCGCGAAAGCGUGGGGAGCAAACAGGAUUAGAUACCCUAGUAGUCC
RNAcentral lists this ribosomal RNA (428 nucleotides) under uncultured bacterium. RNAcentral describes it as "partial 16S ribosomal RNA". It matches the Rfam family "Bacterial small subunit ribosomal RNA", at positions 354 to 796 of the family's 1533-position model. The record is from RNAcentral.